UACGGGAGGCAGCAGGUGGGAAUAUUGCACAAUGGGCGCAAGCCUGAUGCAGCCAUGCCGCGUGUAUGAAGAAGGCCUUCGGGUUGUAAAGUACUUUCAGUCGUGAGGAAGGUGUUAAGGUUAAUAACCUUAGCAAUUGACGUUAGCGACAGAAGAAGCACCGGCUAACUCCGUGCCAGCAGCCGCGGUAAUACGGAGGGUGCGAGCGUUAAUCGGAAUUACUGGGCGUAAAGGGCACGCAGGCGGUUAAUUAAGUUGGAUGUGAAAUCCCCGGGCUUAACCUGGGAAUGGCAUUCAAGACUGGUUAGCUAGAGUCUUGUAGAGGGGGUAGAAUUCCAUGUGUAGCGGUGAAAUGCGUAGAGAUGUGGAGGAAUACCGGUGGCGAAGGCGGCCCCUGGCAAAGACUGACGCUCAUGUGCGAAAGCGUGGGGAGCAAACAGGGAUUAGAUACC
Molecule: ribosomal RNA, 452 nt
Filed under: uncultured bacterium
Lineage: Bacteria
Description: bacterial SSU rRNA
Rfam family: Bacterial small subunit ribosomal RNA
Source: RNAcentral